CCCUAGAGGAGCCUGUUCCAUAAUCGAUAAACCCCGAUCUACCUCACCCUCUCUUGCUUAGCCUAUAUACCGCCAUCUUCAGCAAACCCUGAUAAAGGUUACAAAGUGAGCACAAACGCCCUGCCGCCGCAAAAACGUUAGGUCAAGGUGUAGCCCAUGAGAGGGUAAAAAUGGGCUACAUUUUCUACAUCAGAAAACCCCACGAAAACUCUUAUGAAACCUGAGAGUCCAAGGAGGAUUUAGCAGUAAAUUAAGAAUAGAGUGCUUAAUUGAACCAGGUCAUAAAGCGCGUACACACCGCCCGUCACUCCCCUCAAAUAUAUUUAAGGAACAUCCUAACUAAACGCCCUAACAUUUAUAUAGAGGGGAUAAGUCGUAACAUGGUAAGUGUACUGGAAGGUGCACUUGGAC
Molecule: ribosomal RNA, 411 nt
Filed under: Macaca maura x tonkeana
Lineage: Eukaryota; Metazoa; Chordata; Mammalia; Primates; Cercopithecidae
Description: partial 12S ribosomal RNA
Rfam family: Bacterial small subunit ribosomal RNA
Source: RNAcentral